UUGUCCAGCUUUGGGUCAAAAAUAACUUAAAACAGUAAAUCAUCAUAUAAAAAAUGAACUGUUACAUGUGCAUGGUUUUUAUGUACCUUCUACCAGUGUCUCCCAUCGCUAGCUAAUACUAAGGUCUUUAUCAUUCAUAGAAUCACCUCUUUUAAGCUCUGUAUGGGAUGCAAAUGUGAUUUAUUUCAUGAAUGUUAAAAAUACAUUUGGAUAAUGUAGGGAU
Molecule: long non-coding RNA, 223 nt
Filed under: Bos taurus (domestic cattle)
Lineage: Eukaryota; Metazoa; Chordata; Mammalia; Artiodactyla; Bovidae
Description: long non-coding RNA NONBTAT001569
Source: RNAcentral